AUGGGCGCCGGUCUUGUGUGCCACUCGUGGCUCCACGCGGCCAAGGUUCUGCCCGAUCUGUGGUCACAUGUGAAUACAGUCUAACAUGUGGAGAUCCGUGAUCAUGCUGACAAGGACGAAAGCGCCCUGUGCGCAAUGGCGAAGGUGGCGGUGGACCGCUCCGACGGACAGCUCAAGGUGUUCUUGGCCAAGCAGUUUGUCACGGAUGAGCUCCUCAACUACAUAGGGGACAGGUCGCCUUCCCUGAAGAGCCUUGGCCUCAUAUCCUGCCCCGACGUCACCAACCAAGGGUUCACCCAUCUGACAACCAGGUCCCCGCUGCUAGAAGACCUCGUGCUUGUCAACUGUCGUAACGUCGGCGGCGACGCGUACGAGGCCACCGGCGUGGCAUGCGGAGCAACCCUGAAGCGUCUCGUGCUGCGUAAAGGGUGGUAUGACCAGAGAGGCGGCGCGCUUGGAAUCGCGACGAUGCGCGAGCUGCGGGACCUUUCUCUCGUCGGCAGCGACAUCACCACGGACGAGCUGGCGGCCGUCGUCGACGCCUGUCCUCACCUGGAGCGCCUCCGCGUGAACGACUGCUACAACGUCGUCGUGGACGACGACCUGCGAGCCAAGUGCGCCGGCAUCAAGGACCUGACGCUCCCCUCUGUGCAGGACGCGCAGGCGAGGUACUACCUUGACGACUAUGAUGAGCCGUUGAGCAGUCGCGAUGUCGAUGGUUGGGGCUCUGACUAA
RNAcentral lists this ribosomal RNA (735 nucleotides) under Triticum aestivum (bread wheat). RNAcentral describes it as "partial small subunit ribosomal RNA". The record is from RNAcentral. Lineage: Eukaryota; Viridiplantae; Streptophyta; Magnoliopsida; Poales; Poaceae.